Molecule: ribosomal RNA, 164 nt
Filed under: uncultured bacterium
Lineage: Bacteria
Description: partial 16S rRNA
Rfam family: Bacterial small subunit ribosomal RNA
Source: RNAcentral
UGGGGAAUAUUGCACAAUGGGCGCAAGCCUGAUGCAGCCAUGCCGCGUGUGUGAAGAAGGCCUUCGGGUUGUAAAGCACUUUCAGCGGGGAGGAAGGCGUUAAGGUUAAUAACCUUGGCGAUUGACGUUACCCGCAGAAGAAGCACCGGCUAACCCCGUGCCAG